RNAcentral lists this ribosomal RNA (390 nucleotides) under Azoarcus sp. Its description in RNAcentral is "partial 23S ribosomal RNA". It matches the Rfam family "Bacterial large subunit ribosomal RNA", at positions 2541 to 2925 of the family's 2925-position model. The record is from RNAcentral. Lineage: Bacteria; Pseudomonadati; Pseudomonadota; Betaproteobacteria; Rhodocyclales; Zoogloeaceae.
CACAUCCUGGGGCUGUAGCCGGUCCCAAGGGUAUGGCUGUUCGCCAUUUAAAGUGGUACGUGAGCUGGGUUUAAAACGUCGUGAGACAGUUUGGUCCCUAUCUGCCGUGGGCGCUGGAAGUUUGAGAGGGGCUGCUCCCAGUACGAGAGGACCGGAGUGGACGCACCGCUGGUGCACCGGUUGUGACGCCAGUCGCAUCGCCGGGUAGCCAAGUGCGGAAGAGAUAACCGCUGAAAGCAUCUAAGCGGGAAACUCGCCUCAAGAUGAGACUUCCCGGGGGGUCCGACCCCCCUGAAGGGUCGUCCGAGACCAGGACGUUGAUAGGCGGGGUGUGCAAGCGCGGCGACGCGUUGAGCUGACCCGUACUAAUGGCCCGUGAGGCUUGAUCCU